This is an RNA transcript of Zingiber officinale, 1917 nucleotides long. RefSeq lists it as uncharacterized. The transcript has 9 exons. The record is from RefSeq and is a predicted model, not a curated record. NCBI's taxonomy places the organism in Eukaryota, Viridiplantae, Streptophyta, Magnoliopsida, Zingiberales, Zingiberaceae.
UUCUCAGUUGCUUCCGUCUCUUUUUCCCCAAUCAAAUGGGAAAAAAUGGUUCUUUUUUGUUGUGGUUGCGAGAGGUUGAUUUGAUGUGAAACCCUAGUCACUUCCGUGCUGUUAGGUCAAAGAAGGGGAAGGGCAUGAGAUUGAAUGGAGGAAGGGGAGAAGGCGGGGCGGGAGUAAGAUGAGCGCCGCCGCGAUCGCUCCUCCCGUCGAGGAUCUCAUGCCCUUGAGCCGCUCCUCGCCGUGCGAUGGAUGAGACGUAGGGUUCCGUCGGAACCACAACCAGCUUGUCCCUCAGGUUGGGGCAGGCGAUCUUCUCCUCCGCCGCCCUACUCCUCAUGUCCGUCGGCGUCAAGUUCUACAGCUAUACUGCUUUCUGCUGAUAACGCGGCACCUGCCGAGGAGCUCCAGCAUCGUGAGCCUACGGGAGGCGUGCGAGGAUGACGGAGUUGUGCAUUUGGUCAUGGAGCUGUGUGAGGGCGGGGAGCUCUUUGACCGCAUUGUGGCGAGGGGCCACUAGUCAGAGCGCGCGGCAGCUGUGGUCAUGAAGACCAUUGUUGAGGUCGUGCAGCUCUGCCAUUGCCAUGGGGUGAUCCAUCAAGACCUCGAGCCAGAGAAUUUCUUGUUUUCAAACAAGAAGGAGAACUCACCCUUGAAGGCAAUUGACUUUGGGCUGUCAAUAUUCUUCCAGCCUGCUGAUAACGCGGCACCUGCCGAGGAGCUCCAGCAUCGUGAGGCUACGGGAGGCGUGCGAGGACGACGGAGUUGUGCAUUUGGUCAUGGAGCUGUGUGAGGGCGGGGAGCUCUUUGACCGCAUUGUGGCGAGGGGCCACUAGUCAGAGCGCGCGGCAGCUGUGGUCAUGAAGACCAUUGUUGAGGUCGUGCAGCUCUGCCAUUGCCAAGGGGUGAUCCAUCGAGACCUCGAGCCAGAGAAUUUCUUGUUUGCAAACAAGAAGGAGAACUCGCCCUUGAAGGCAAUUGACUUUGGGUUGUCAAUAUUCUUCCAGCCUGGUGAAUGAUUUUCUGAGAUAGUUGGAAGCCCUUAUUACAUGGCUCCAUAAGUUUUUAAAUGGAAUUAUGGACCAGAAAUUGAUAUAUCAAGUGCUGGAGUUAUACUCUAUAUCUUACUGUGUGGAGUUCCCCUAUUUUGGGCUGAAACUGCACAGGGAGUUGCACAAGCAAUUCUUGUUGUACGAAGGAGCUUGAAAUUGUUCAAUUCGAACAAGGAAAGGAAAGGAAAAAAGAAGCCUACGUGGAAAGUUGUAAAGGGUCCUCGACAACCUAAUGCGAAACAAUGUGAGUUUUAUGUGAUGAAAUUUAUGAGAGAAAUUAUUGAAGGAAAUGCUACCAGCGAGAAGGAUUCACUUAGCUCAAUGUGAUGCUUUAUUGAAAGAAAUUAAGGCGACGGUAGUUCGACAUCCAGAUAUUUUGACUAUGGAAACUAUAAAAGAAGGCAAUAAGGGCUAUGCUGCAGAGAUUUUGGUUGUCAUAUACAAUGAACAUACGGAGGAUGUAGAUGACCAAUCAAAGUUUAGGAUACUUCUGAACAUUCCUUGUAUUUCAGAGCUUUGGACAGCAUGGGAGAGAACUUAUUACCUCUGAGGUAGCUUGGCAACUACUUUCUGUUUUAGCCAAAGAAUGUAAUAUGCAAAGAGUGGAUCUUAUGUUCAUCCACAAACUGCUGGAUAACCUUGUUGUAAAGGUAACAUAAAACAAGAACUUGAAAGAAAAUCUUUUGACAGAUCAUACAAAUACUAAAUCCUGAAAUCACCAGUCAUUUGUUAGUUUUACACUUUUCUUAGAUAAAUUGUUUUUAGAUCAUUGUAAUUUCAAGUCAUACCAGAACUCUGAACUGGAUGAUAUGCAUUAGUCACUUGAAAAUAUCUUUCAUUUUAUCCCUCUCAUUUUAAAAUCAGUUCU